This 503-nucleotide ribosomal RNA is filed under the name Escherichia coli 3-105-05_S1_C3. Its description in RNAcentral is "partial 16S ribosomal RNA". The stretch from base 1 to 74 matches the Rfam family "MicL sRNA", at positions 235 to 308 of the family's 308-position model. The record is from RNAcentral. Lineage: Bacteria; Pseudomonadati; Pseudomonadota; Gammaproteobacteria; Enterobacterales; Enterobacteriaceae.
ACCGUUGCAUCAUGUCGCCCAAUAUGAUGCUUGCUCGUACCAGGCCCCUGCAAUUUCAACAGGGGCCUUUUUUUAUCCCUGAGCAGUAUAAAAAACGAACGAUAACCGUGAUCUGUUGAGCGGGUGACAGUGCGCAUAGCGUUGUGCUAAAAAUAUUUUUUAUAUUCACAUUGAUUAUGGGGUAGUGACUCCAACUUACUGAUAGUGUUUUAUGUUCAGAUAAUGCCCGAUGACCUUGUCAUGCAGCUCCACCGAUUUUGAGAACGACAGCGACUUCCGUCCCAGCCUUGCCAGAUGUUGUCUCAGAUUCAGAUUAUGUCGCUCAAUGCGCUGAGUGUAACGCUUGCUGAUAACGUGCAGCUUUCCCUUCAGGCGUGAUUCAUACAGCGGCCAGCCAUCCGUCAUCCAUACCACGACCUCAAAGGCCGACAGCAGGCUCAGAAGACGCUCCAGUGUGGCCAGAGUGCGUUCACCGAAAACGUGCGCCACAACUGUCCUCCGUA